UACGGAGGAUGCGAGCGUUAUCCGGAUUCAUUGGGUUUAAAGGGUGCGCAGGCGGAUAUAUAAGUCGGAGGUGAAAUUCUGAUGCUCAACAUCAGCCGUGCCUUCGAUACUGUAUAUCUAGAGUCAAGUUGGAGUAGGCGGAAUGUGUUGUGUAGCGGUGAAAUGCUUAGAUAUAACACAGAACACCGAUCGCGAAGGCAGCUUACUAAACUUUGACUGACGCUCAUGCACGAAAGCGUGGGGAUCAAACAUGAUUAGAUACCCUGGUAGUCCACGCUGUAAUCGAUGAUUACUCGCUGUUGGCGAUACACAGUCAGUGGCUAAGCGAAAGUGAUAAGUAAUCCACCUGGGGAGUACGACGGCAACGUUGAA
Molecule: ribosomal RNA, 372 nt
Filed under: uncultured bacterium
Lineage: Bacteria
Description: bacterial SSU rRNA
Rfam family: Bacterial small subunit ribosomal RNA
Source: RNAcentral